Arabidopsis thaliana (thale cress) is the source of this 210-nucleotide non-coding RNA. Lineage: Eukaryota; Viridiplantae; Streptophyta; Magnoliopsida; Brassicales; Brassicaceae. The record is from RefSeq.
AUGGGAGGUUCGUGGCGUUUCUUCUUUAGCUUCUUCGGCAGUUUCAAAGCGUGGUGGCGACGGAGACAGAGAUCGAACCAGGCAGGAACGGACGAUGAGAUGUAUGGUGAAGAUAGUGAAGCCAACUUCUAUAAUUGGUACCUCGUUGAACCAGCUAUUAACCGGAGAUCCACUGAUUUCAUCAAAAGGUUCCACGAGACUCGUGACUGA